Molecule: ribosomal RNA, 450 nt
Filed under: bacterium
Lineage: Bacteria
Description: bacterial SSU rRNA
Rfam family: Bacterial small subunit ribosomal RNA
Source: RNAcentral
UAACUUGAGAGUUUGAUCCUGGCUCAGAAUCAACGCUGGCGGCGUGCCUAACACAUGCAAGUCGAACGCGAAAGUGGAGCAAUCCAUUAGUAGAGUGGCAAACGGGUGAGUAACACGUGGGCGACCUACCUCAGAGUGGGGGAUAACCUUCCGAAAGGAGGGCUAAUACCGCAUGACAUCCCGUGUUUGGAUACACGGAGAUCAAAGCCGGGGAUCGCAAGACCUGGCGCUGGGAGAGGGGCCCGCGUCCGAUUAGCUAGUUGGUGAGGUAAUGGCUCACCAAGGCUCCGAUCGGUAUCCGGCCUGAGAGGGCGGACGGACACACUGGAACUGAGACACGGUCCAGACUCCUACGGGAGGCAGCAGUGGGGAAUUUUGCGCAAUGGGGGAACCCUGACGCAGCAACGCCGCGUGGAGGAUGAAGCCCCUUGGGGUGUAAACUCCUUUCGG